RNAcentral lists this transfer RNA (76 nucleotides) under Occallatibacter sp. RNAcentral describes it as "tRNA-Ile". It matches the Rfam family "tRNA". Rfam says of the family: Transfer RNA (tRNA) molecules are approximately 80 nucleotides in length. Their secondary structure includes four short double-helical elements and three loops (D, anti-codon, and T loops). RNAcentral also lists the same sequence under 1 other name. Lineage: Bacteria; Pseudomonadati; Acidobacteriota; Terriglobia; Terriglobales; Acidobacteriaceae. The record is from RNAcentral.
CCAGGGAUAGCUCAGUUGGCAGAGCGCGCGAUCGAUAAUCGCGAGGUCGUGGGUUCAACUCCCACUCCCUGGACCA